GCCGAGGGAAGCUUGAGGGCGGGGCCUCCGGUUGCGAUCCUUUUGUGUGGCUCCUUUGAGGGUAGGCCGGUAGAGAUCCUGACCACGCCCCAGGAGCUCAGAGAGGCUGUCAGGUCUAGCCAGGCCCGGCUGGGCCCUGAGCGCUGGCCACUGAAAAGAGGUGGAAAGCCAACAUGGACCGUUCCCUUUGCCCUCAUCCUCAGCCUGACCGCGCAGGGGAAACAAUUCUCCUGGAUACUGUGAUUUGAGGCCAGAGUGAAGUCUGUGAGUGACUCCUUGGAUGACAAGACAGCCCUCUGACUGGCUCAAGUCCUGACACUUGACCCCAGAACGAUGCCCACAUGAUGUGAGGAACUGAAAUCAAAGCAGGCACUACGCACUGUCCAGAAAACAAGUUCCCUGAGAGCAACCUGUCUUAAAGUGAGAGCCUCUUCAGUCCAUUAUACUCAACAAGAGAAAUCCCAUUUCUGGAUGAAUGACUGAAGCCAACAGGAAAAGCUGAAGGAAGCAAUCUGCUUCCUUUCUGGUCUGAGAAACAACCAUCUUCUUCAACCAGUCCUGCCAGCAAUCCUAGCCCAGACCCCACUGACAGCUUCCAGACACCACCAAGGCCUGCUUGGGCCCAUCAGUCAGCAGUUUGCAAGUGUCCAGCUGAUUUCAUACCCCAGGCCACUCCCAUGUCCUACUAAGUUCUGUGUCCCUGAAAGUCAUGACUGCCUGUUCUAGUCCUCUUAGACAGCCCUGCCUCAUAAUAUAAUACACUUAUUAGACUGUAAACGAGGAUGCAAGGCAUAAAGGUUUUUUUACAGGAUAAACAAACAGACCAGGAUCUGACACC
Long non-coding RNA from Heterocephalus glaber (naked mole-rat), 838 nucleotides. The record is from Ensembl. Lineage: Eukaryota; Metazoa; Chordata; Mammalia; Rodentia; Bathyergidae.